RNAcentral lists this unclassified non-coding RNA (911 nucleotides) under Hevea brasiliensis (rubber tree). Lineage: Eukaryota; Viridiplantae; Streptophyta; Magnoliopsida; Malpighiales; Euphorbiaceae. The record is from RNAcentral.
AGAUAAUAUUAAUAGGGCACCAUACGAUUUUAUUCACAUUUUCACCAACAAUAAGAAACCAUUGCAGUCGUGUACAUUAGAAAUCAAAAUAGUAAAAGGCCUUUCGAUAAAUCAUACUCACUCCCCACCACCCAAAAAAGCACAAGUAGUCAUGAGUUGCUUUUAACACUUCCUUCAACGCGUGUGAGUGCAUCUGUUAGCACAUCAAUUGUCCAAUCCUUCAGAUCUUGCUGCAGAUAAGAAGUGAAAAAGCAACAAAAAUAAACAUCAGUAUUCUGUAUGAUAAAAAAUCAACAACAGAAAAGCAUUCUGUUCUAUUCUUUUGCCGAACUACUAAAAUGCAGCUGCUCAGAGUUUGGAUAUAUAUUCACUCAAGUUCCUGAAGCUUGUGAUGCAAGGAGAAGUGAACCUCAGGGCAUUGAAACGGCAAAAUGACACUUAGUAAUUCCAAAAGAAAGCAUGUUAAAGCAGUCACUACAACUAACUGUCAGGGUAGGACAUUUACAUUUAGGGCAAGAAACAAGAGUGAGAUUGCUACAUCCUAUUAAUAAUCCUCAAAGGUUGCUUCAAGGCAGAUCCGAUCACCUAAUUACAUCUCUUCAAAGGCCAGAACAGAGACACCGUAGGUUUUGCAUAACUCAAAGGAAAAAAGAUUGAGGCAAGUUGAACAUGAAAAACAUGGGAAUGGUUACCAUUUGCAUACUAUCAACAAACUAGAUUGCCUUCUUCAAUUAUUGUAUUCUGGUGUCUAAUAAAAAAGACAGUGACUUGAUAUAACUAUUGCAAACAAAAUGAGUCAAAAUUCCAAGUUUAAAAAGAUGGGGUACUGUUAUGUUGGUUUAAGCGGGGAAGAGGUAAGAGAAAGAAAUGGAAUUUCAAGAAAAAUGAGUGUACAAAAUGGGAAAUAAAAA